Molecule: ribosomal RNA, 365 nt
Filed under: Labiocapritermes distortus
Lineage: Eukaryota; Metazoa; Arthropoda; Insecta; Blattodea; Termitidae
Description: partial large subunit ribosomal RNA
Source: RNAcentral
AAAAACAUCUUUUCUUGUUAGUUUUUGAAAUCUGGCCUGCCCACUGACUUAUUUGUUGAAGGGCCGCGGUAUUUUGACCGUGCAAAGGUAGCAUAAUCAUUAGUUCUUUAAUUGUGAUCUGGUAUGAAUGGCUUGACGAGACAUGAGCUGUCUUAAGUGGUAUUGUUUAUUGAAUUUAGUUUUUGAGUUAAAAUUCUUAGAUGUUUUUAUGGGACGAGAAGACCCUAUAGAGUUUGACAUUUUUCUUAUCAUAAAUUAUUGUUUGUUUUUAUUUCUUAGUUAAGUGAAAUGUUUUGUUGGGGUGAUGGGAGGAAUAUUUUUAACUCCUCUUUAUUUUUGUAUAUUGAUUUAUAUUUCUUUGAUCC